This 465-nucleotide ribosomal RNA is filed under the name uncultured bacterium. RNAcentral describes it as "partial 16S ribosomal RNA". It matches the Rfam family "Bacterial small subunit ribosomal RNA", at positions 28 to 507 of the family's 1533-position model. The record is from RNAcentral.
GACGAACGCUGGCGGCGUGCUUAACACAUGCAAGUCGAACGGAAAGGCCCUGCUUGCAGGGUACUCGAGUGGCGAACGGGUGAGUAACACGUGGGUGAUCUGCCCUGCACUUCGGGAUAAGCCUGGGAAACUGGGUCGAAUACCGGAUAGGAGCCAUUUUGAGUGUGAUGGUUGGAAAGUUUUUUCGGUGUAGGAUGAGCUCGCGGCCUAUCAGCUUGUUGGUGGGGUAAUGGCCUACCAAGGCGGCGACGGGUAGCCGGCCUGAGCGGGUGGACGGCCACAUUGGGACUGAGAUACGGCCCAGACUCCUACGGGAGGCAGCCGUGGGGAAUAUUGCACGAUGGGCGCCAGCCUGAUGCAGCGACGCCGCGUGGGGGAUGACGGCCUUCGGGUUGUAAACUCCGUUCGCUAGGGACGAAGCUUUUUGUGACGGUACCUAGAUAAGAAGCACCGGCUAACUACGUG